This 253-nucleotide ribosomal RNA is filed under the name uncultured bacterium. Its description in RNAcentral is "partial 16S ribosomal RNA". It matches the Rfam family "Bacterial small subunit ribosomal RNA", at positions 524 to 776 of the family's 1533-position model. The record is from RNAcentral.
UACGUAGGGUGCAGGCGUUGUUCGGAUUUACUGGGCGUAAAGGGCUCGUAGGCGGCCAACUAAGUCGGACGUGAAAUCCCUCGGCUUAACCGGGGAACUGCGUCCGAUACUGGAUGGCUGGAGGUUGGGAGAGGGAUGCGGAAUUCCAGGUGUAGCGGUGAAAUGCGUAGAUAUCUGGAGGAACACCGGUGGCGAAGGCGGCAUCCUGGACCAAUUCUGACGCUGAGGAGCGAAAGCCAGGGGAGCAAACGGG